CACGUAGGGCGCAAGCGUUGUCCGGAAUUAUUGGGCGUAAAGGGUCCGUAGGCGGAUCUGUAAGUCAGUGGUGAAAUCUCACAGCUUAACUGUGAAACUGCCAUUGAUACUGCAGGUCUUGAGUAAGGUAGAGGUGGCUGGAAUAAGUAGUGUAGCGGUGAAAUGCAUAGAUAUUACUUAGAACACCAAUUGCGAAGGCAGGUCACUAUGUCUUAACUGACGCUGAUGGACGAAAGCGUGGGGAGCGAACAGG
This 253-nucleotide ribosomal RNA is filed under the name uncultured bacterium. RNAcentral describes it as "partial 16S ribosomal RNA". It matches the Rfam family "Bacterial small subunit ribosomal RNA", at positions 524 to 776 of the family's 1533-position model. The record is from RNAcentral.